Molecule: ribosomal RNA, 497 nt
Filed under: uncultured bacterium
Lineage: Bacteria
Description: bacterial SSU rRNA
Rfam family: Bacterial small subunit ribosomal RNA
Source: RNAcentral
AUUGAACGCUGGCGGCAUGCCUUACACAUGCAAGUCGAACGGUAACGGGCCUUCGGGUGCCGACGAGUGGCGAACGGGUGAGUAAUGCAUCGGAACGUACCUUUCAGUGGGGGAUAACGUAGCGAAAGUUACGCUAAUACCGCAUAUUCUGUGAGCAGGAAAGCAGGGGAUCGCAAGACCUUGCGCUGAUUGAGCGGCCGAUGUCAGAUUAGCUAGUUGGUGAGGUAAAGGCUCACCAAGGCGACGAUCUGUAGCGGGUCUGAGAGGAUGAUCCGCCACACUGGAACUGAGACACGGUCCAGACUCCUACGGGAGGCAGCAGUGGGGAAUUUUGGACAAUGGGGGCAACCCUGAUCCAGCCAUGCCGCGUGAGUGAAGAAGGCCUUCGGGUUGUAAGCUCUUUCGGUCCGGGAAGAAAUCGUAUGGGUUAAUAACCUGUGCGGAUGACGGUACCGGCAUAAGAAGACACCGGCUAACUACGUGCCAGCAGCCGCGGU